Molecule: ribosomal RNA, 497 nt
Filed under: uncultured bacterium
Lineage: Bacteria
Description: partial 16S ribosomal RNA
Rfam family: Bacterial small subunit ribosomal RNA
Source: RNAcentral
GAUGGACGCUGGCGGCGUGCCUAAUACAUGCAAGUCGAGCGAACAGACGAGGAGCUUGCUCCUCUGACGUUAGCGGCGGACGGGUGAGUAACACGUGGAUAACCUACCUAUAAGACUGGGAUAACUUCGGGAAACCGGAGCUAAUACCGGAUAAUAUAUUGAACCGCAUGGUUCAAUAGUGAAAGACGGUUUUGCUGUCACUUAUAGAUGGAUCCGCGCCGCAUUAGCUAGUUGGUAAGGUAACGGCUUACCAAGGCAACGAUGCGUAGCCGACCUGAGAGGGUGAUCGGCCACACUGGAACUGAGACACGGUCCAGACUCCUACGGGAGGCAGCAGUAGGGAAUCUUCCGCAAUGGGCGAAAGCCUGACGGAGCAACGCCGCGUGAGUAAUGAAGGUCUUCGGAUCGUAAAACUCUGUUAUUAGGGAAGAACAAAUGUGUAAGUAACUAUGCACGUCUUGACGGUACCUAAUCAGAAAGCCACGGCUAACUACGUG